Molecule: ribosomal RNA, 497 nt
Filed under: uncultured bacterium
Lineage: Bacteria
Description: partial 16S ribosomal RNA
Rfam family: Bacterial small subunit ribosomal RNA
Source: RNAcentral
GAUGAACGCUGGCGGCGUGCCUAAUACAUGCAAGUCGAGCGAACAGACGAGGAGCUUGCUCCUUUGACGUUAGCGGCGGACGGGUGAGUAACACGUGGAUAACCUACCUAUAAGACUGGGAUAACUUCGGGAAACCGGAGCUAAUACCGGAUAACAUGUUGAACCGCAUGGUUCAACAGUGAAAGACGGUCUUGCUGUCACUUAUAGAUGGAUCCGCGCCGCAUUAGCUAGUUGGUAAGGUAACGGCUUACCAAGGCAACGAUGCGUAGCCGACCUGAGAGGGUGAUCGGCCACACUGGAACUGAGACACGGUCCAGACUCCUACGGGAGGCAGCAGUAGGGAAUCUACCGCAAUGGGCGAAAGCCUGACGGAGCAACGCCGCGUGAGUGAAGAAGGUCUUCGGAUCGUAAAACUCUGUUAUUAGGGAAGAACAAAUGUGUAAGUAACUAUGCACGUCUUGACGGUACCUAAUCAGAAAGCCACGGCUAACUACGUG